GGAAGGGCGGGGGCUGGACAGAGUCAAAGAAAAGGCUGCCAUGGAAACACCAGCGCUUGAGGCUUGAAGAGGGAGGUGAGCUGAAAGAGGUAUGGUUUUUCUUAUGGAAGAAUAUUCUGUUAUUUCAUGAUGGCAUUUGCACCUCCAAAAAGUACAGAUGCCCCCAAAAUGCAGACAAAGAUGAGUACCUGGACACCUCUAAACCAUCAGCUUUUGAAUGACCGGGUAUUUGAAGAAAGAAGAGCUCUGCUUGGAAAAUGGUUUGACAAAUGGACAGACUCUCAACGGAGAAGAAUCUUGACAGGCCUGUUAGAACGUUGCUCCCUGUCACAGCAAAAGUUCUGCUGUCGAAAACUUCAAGAAAAAAUUCCAGCAGAAGCUCUGGAUUUUACUACCAAGCUUCCAAGAGUGUUAUCUCUAUACAUCUUUUCUUUCCUGGACCCACGAAGCCUUUGUCGUUGUGCACAGGUGAGCUGGCACUGGAAGAACUUAACUGAGCUGGAUCAGCUCUGGAUGCUCAAAUGUUUACGAUUUAAUUGGUACAUCAAUUUCUCUCCAACUCCCUUUGAGCAGGGUAUAUGGAAGAAGCACUACAUUCAGAUGGUAAAAGAACUUCAUGUUACCAAGCCAAAGACACCUCCAAAAGAUGGGUUUGCCGUUGCCGACGUUCAGUCAGUUACAAGCAGUCCUGCAGAGGAAAAGCAGUCCCCUGCGUCAGCUUUCAGGUCGUCUUCCUCUUUGAGAAAGAAAACCCACCCAAAGGAGAAAGAGCUCCCACCCUGGAGAUCAUCUGACAAGCAUCCAACUGAUAUCAUUCGCUUCAAUUACCUGGACAACUGUGACCCCAGUGAGCAAAUCUGGCAAGGGAGGAGGAAAAGACAUGAAAUGAAUCCAGAUUUCAGCCGACAAUCACAUGAUAAGAAACAUAAAUUGCAGGACAGAUCUAAGCUAAGAAAAGCACAGUCACUGAUAUCCCUAAGUGCAGAACCCAGCACCGCUCUCCGAGUUCCUGCUCAUCUCGCCUGGUCUCUUCACUGGUGGGCAGGGCUCCAGGCCACCGAAGCUGACACAAAGGUCCUCAUGCAACCUCUUCAGAGGCACCCUGGGCUUCAGGCAUUAUCCGGCCAGGCUCCAGAGCCGAAGUCAAUUUAAAAACAUGAAAGACAUGACAAAGUGAUAGACAUGACAAAGUGCUCUACCCAUUGGAGAGAUGUUACUUGGGUCCUCUAUUAGAAACUUUCAGCUUAGGUACCUGCUUGGGAAAGGGAGUCCUACAGUAUUUCAGUAAAAGUGUUGAAGGAUGAAGACCAGGAGAAGGAACCUCUCCACUCUAAGAAGCCAGCUGAUGGUUGCUUCCAGGAACAAGGAUGGUGAGAGAGCUUCUUAAUCCUUCAUAACUGGUCCCCAAACUUGUUAUACAUGCAAAAACCCUAGAGCCAGAGGACCUACGGUAAUUAUCUUUGUGAGCAUCAGGGCCAGGGGAAGCUAUGAAGACAGUGUGUCCCAGUCAACAGCCUAUUUAGGGAAGAAGGAAGUGUCCAGAGAUGGACGUCAAGAGGUAGGGAACUAGGGGAAGGACACAAAAGGGAAGAAAGGAACCCGUGAUGACUUUCCAGGGCCUCCCUCCCAGAGAGAGGUGAGUUUGUCUAAACCUCACGGGGCCUCUGCAGACCUAACAGCCGGAACCCUAUGGCCCCUACAUGGGGUUUGUCCUCCCAGUCCAGGGACAUCCCGUACCUGGAGCCUUAAGAGAAACUCCAGUGCCAACCUCAGCUCCUUCUUAACCAGCGAUGCGUACAUUCUGAUAUGAAUCUUGGCUUAUCUCCUGCGAGAUUUUAACCUUUCUGUAUUCACGUAAUAAUCUAUCCAUUUUGCUUCUAGUCUUCUAUUGUUAUUUCUGAACAUAUUUUACUCUCCCCAACUCCCAUCCCCACUCGCCUUCUAGACUGGGAAUUCUUCAGAGGAUCCCAUUUUCACUCACUCUGUACUUCCACAUUUUCUUUUAUGCAGGAGGGGCAUAACUGGAGUUUGCUGUCACUGGAAUGUCAUCAGAAGGUCUGAAAUGAAAAAAAGAAAAAAAAAGGUCUGAAACGUUCAUUUCUCAGCCAGCUUCUUUAUCCACUGACACUGACACAGAGUGGACACAAGAGGGCGCUCCUUCCCCUCUAGCGCAGUCCAGGGAGCUGCUCCUUUUCUGCCUCUUUCAGUCCCUUGAAUAAAAUUCAGACAGGACUGACAUCAAUGAAAGCAUAUUUUUAUUACCAUUGGGGAGAGGUUUGGGGCAAUUCCGGAUAUUUACACAGACACCCUUAAGGAUAUAUGUAUUCAGCUCAGGUCUUUGAUUUCAUUUGAAUCAAACAGAUACCAACAAUGUCAGUUUUGGAAGAACUUAAAGUCUAAGGAAGAAACAUGUGUUUUAAAAAGUAACCUAAAAAAAUAAAAAAAUAAAAAUAAAUAAAAAGUAACCUACCACUUUACACCCAUUAGGAUGGCUAUUGUCAAAGCACAGAUAACAAGUGUUGGCAAGGUUAUGGAGAAAUCGUAACCUUUGUGCAUUUGUUGGUGAGGUUUUCAAAUGACAGAUGUUAUUGGAAAAUUAAACCUAGGAUGACCUUAUGACCCAGCAAUUCAGGUGUAAACCCCAAAGAACUAAGAACAGGGCCUCCAUGAGAUACUGGUCUAUGCAUGUUCACAGCAGUAUUAUUUAUAAUAGCCAAAAGGUAGAAGCAACACAAGUCUCCACUGACAGAUGAAUGGAUAAACAAAGUGUGGUUUAGAUCUCCUGGAAUAUUCUUCCGCCUUAGAAAGGAAGGAAAUUCUGACACAGGCUACAACAUGGAUGAACCUUGAGGACAUCACGCUAAA
Molecule: RNA transcript, 2865 nt
Organism: Mustela erminea (ermine)
Lineage: Eukaryota; Metazoa; Chordata; Mammalia; Carnivora; Mustelidae
Gene: FBXO16
Gene name: F-box protein 16
Exons: 9
Source: RefSeq, a predicted model, not a curated record